Molecule: long non-coding RNA, 250 nt
Filed under: Gossypium barbadense (sea-island cotton)
Lineage: Eukaryota; Viridiplantae; Streptophyta; Magnoliopsida; Malvales; Malvaceae
Description: long non-coding RNA (GBAR_LNC001044)
Source: RNAcentral
UUAGUUAGCGAACACAUCCGAUACUCAUGAUCAAAACUUUUUUUUAAUGGCUAGUGUCUGAAGUAAAUUAUCCAUAUGGAGGAAAGCAAGCUGUCCGACUGAAUUAUUAUCUCAUUAAUAGAUGGAUGUGCUUGAACUUUCAGUUUUAGUUUCAAAAUGGAAUAGGCUUGUUCGAGAAUAUACCAUUGGGUAGUCAGCUUGACCUGCAUCAAUGCGAGGUUCCACAUGAUAUCAAUUUAUGUUUGUAAAA